GCCUAGCCCUGAUGGGAGCGGCAUCCUUUUGUGCCGUUGUUCGGCAUAAAAGAUACAGUGCACAGCAGGAAAAUGC
This 76-nucleotide small RNA is filed under the name Flavobacterium sp. TAB 87. RNAcentral's name for it is "Flavo-1 RNA". It matches the Rfam family "Flavo-1 RNA". The record is from Rfam by way of RNAcentral. Lineage: Bacteria; Pseudomonadati; Bacteroidota; Flavobacteriia; Flavobacteriales; Flavobacteriaceae.